CGCCAGGACCCGUGGAGCGCGGACUUACGAAUCCCGUCAGGGCCGGAAGGCAGCAGCGGCAGUUUGCUUCGUGUCUGCUGCGGUGUUCCUGGCAUUU
This 97-nucleotide signal recognition particle RNA is filed under the name Verrucomicrobiales bacterium. RNAcentral's name for it is "signal recognition particle sRNA small type". It matches the Rfam family "Bacterial small signal recognition particle RNA". From Rfam's summary of the family: The signal recognition particle (SRP) is a universally conserved ribonucleoprotein involved in the co-translational targeting of proteins to membranes. Archaeal SRP consists of a 7S RNA and homologues of the eukaryotic SRP19 and SRP54 proteins. Lineage: Bacteria; Pseudomonadati; Verrucomicrobiota; Verrucomicrobiia; Verrucomicrobiales. The record is from RNAcentral.